CGACCUGGGUAUGUGGAUAGUUUUCACUUCUUCAACGGUUCAUUGAUGCAGGAGUAAGCUUGCGACCUAGGUAUGUGGAUAGAUUUCACUUCUUCAACGGUUCAUUGAUGCACGAGUAAGCUUGCGACCUGGGUAUGUGGAUAGAUUUCACUUCUUCAACGGUUCAUUGAUGCACGAAAGCAUAAAAGAUAUAAGAAUCUCAUCUCCUUCUGGUGGAACGGCAGAGGGCUUGGCUGCUACCAGGGUGAUCCAAAGGGUGUAUCUAGGUAGCAUGUUUGUGGCCUCUUGCACUAACAUGAUUAAUGGUAGCUUCUAUUCCAUGACAUGAUUUUUGCAGCUGUAACAAUAUGUUUCAUGCAAGAGGACAUAAAUUUGCAUCCUAUUUUUCUGUCCAGUUAGUUCCAAAUUACAAAUGUUUGUGCUAUCACUGACAAUUUGGUGGAAAAAGAUGAGUCGUAUAUACACCCAGUGUAAGCUUUCACAUCAGCCGUUGCUCUUGAUUGUCUUUGCAAGUCCAUAGAUAUAAUUUCUUAUGAUUUUCCUUUACUCAUAGUAAGUACUGAAUAUUUUGUGCUUCAACCCUUUAGGUGUUAAUUUCUAUGAUGUGGCUAGCAAAGUUGGCAACAGCUGGAGCUACCUGGAACUUUCAAUUUUGGUGCCAAGAUGGAUGGAUUCAACUGGGUGACCCACAGUCAGGGCGUGGCCGCGGCUGCGGCGCGGGCAGCAAGGACGAGCGCCGCAAGGGAGCCGAUGGGCGUGGGUGUGAACCGGGGAGAGGAGACCAUGGCGGAGGAGAUGAGAGAAGGCCACUGUCUUCUUCUCCCCCCUCUCCGACCAGAAACCCCUAUCUAUCCAUCCGAUGAGAGAAGACUGCAGGCGGAGGAGAGGAGACGCGGGUGAGGUAAGAGGAGCCAAAUCCCCAUCAUGCUCCUCCCCGCGCGCCGCCGACCCACCAGCGGCAUUCUUUCUGGUGUUCUAGGGGAAACAAACAACAAGAUGGUGGUGCAGGUCUUCGGGUAUGGGUCCCUGAUCUGGAACCCCGGCUUCGAUUUCAACGAGAAGAUCCUGAGAUUCAUCAAGGGCUACAAGCGAACGUUUAAUCUCGCUUGCAUUGACCAUAGAGGCGCACCACAGAAUCCAUUCAGGACCUGCACCCCUGAAUCCGAAGAUGAAGAAAUAUGUGUA
Triticum urartu is the source of this 1185-nucleotide non-coding RNA. Lineage: Eukaryota; Viridiplantae; Streptophyta; Magnoliopsida; Poales; Poaceae. The record is from RefSeq and is a predicted model, not a curated record.